UUUCAUGUUAAUAGCCUUCUGAGGCUAACUAUAAUUUUGCCAAUUAAAACUUUUUUUUUUUUUUUAAAGAAAACCAGCAAAAAAUAAAAGUGCCAUCUCCUUGGUGCUGUGUUCAUUUAAGAAUCAGCGUUCCAGGCUAGACUUUAUAGUCUGAUUAAAACCAAAACUGUUACUAGGUUUUAAAAGUUAAAUUUUUUUCUUUAAAAUGAUGAGUCAGCUUUGGUAUAAUUCAAUUUUUGUAAACUGUUUUAACUACAUAGGUAGAGCUUAUAGGUAUAUCUAUAAUAAAAGCAUUUUACUUCUUUGGGAGGAUGCUGGCUGUUUUUGUGUCUUUUUGUAAGCUUUUUGGCAUUUGUCUUGAU
Molecule: long non-coding RNA, 362 nt
Filed under: Homo sapiens (human)
Lineage: Eukaryota; Metazoa; Chordata; Mammalia; Primates; Hominidae
Description: HSALNT0113143
Source: RNAcentral